CAUGAUAGCACUCAUAAUACCCCAAUCGCAUUCUAAAACCUCAUCUUCAAUUCGCAGCCUAAAAUUCGACGCUACCUCACGCAUCACCGCUAAAUGGGCGUUCUGAGACUCCCAUCACUGACUUCUCUCUUCACCUCCUCUUCUUCCGCCGCCGCGAUACCCCGUCGCCACCUCCCCCUCCCCCUCCCUUUGCGCCGCCACUUUACGGCCAAUU
Molecule: long non-coding RNA, 214 nt
Filed under: Olea europaea subsp. europaea
Lineage: Eukaryota; Viridiplantae; Streptophyta; Magnoliopsida; Lamiales; Oleaceae
Source: RNAcentral